AGGGAAUCUUCCGCAAUGGACGAAAGUCUGACGGAGCAACGCCGCGUGAGUGAUGAAGGCUUUCGGGUCGUAAAACUCUGUUGUUAGGGAAGAACAAGUACGAGAGUAACUGCUCGUACCUUGACGGUACCUAACCAGAAAGCCACGGCUAACUACGUGCCAGCAGCCGCGGUAAUACGUAGGUGGCAAGCGUUAUCCGGAAUUAUUGGGCGUAAAGCGCGCGCAGGCGG
Molecule: ribosomal RNA, 230 nt
Filed under: Bacillus sp. enrichment culture clone 'DGGE gel band P3'
Lineage: Bacteria; Bacillati; Bacillota; Bacilli; Caryophanales; Bacillaceae
Description: partial 16S ribosomal RNA
Rfam family: Bacterial small subunit ribosomal RNA
Source: RNAcentral